UGACACUGGAGAUGCGCGUCCACGAGAGGACUCCAUGUUUUUCUUUCAGUCUUUGAAUGAAUACAACGUUGUCUGGUUGGAAUAUUAUCGCUACUUUACGAGAAAAAUCGCAUAAAAAUUGAUUUUAAACAGCGUUUGACAUGCUUCGAAGUACGGUAAUGGAAUAUUUUGCAUUUUUUUGUCACGAAAUGCGCUCGCGCGUCACCCUUCGGAUUGUGACCUGAACGCACGAACAAAACGGAGCUAUUUCAAUAUAACUAUGGAUUAUUUGGAACCAAAACAACAUUUGUUGUUGAAGUAUAAGUCCUGGGAGUGCAUUCUGACGAAGAACAGCAAAGGUUCCGGAUCCUUUUCGGUUUCCUCCACAGAUUGUUCACUUUGGCUUAUGUCCAUAGUUUCAUCUCGGUUAUUCUCUGUUACAACUUCUACACUAUGAUCCACAGGUAAGUAUUGUACUUCAUUCCCUUCCAAGUUUCCA
This 478-nucleotide long non-coding RNA is filed under the name Salmo salar (Atlantic salmon). RNAcentral describes it as "lncRNA (ENSSSAG00000108173.1)". The record is from RNAcentral. Lineage: Eukaryota; Metazoa; Chordata; Actinopteri; Salmoniformes; Salmonidae.